RNAcentral lists this small nuclear RNA (21 nucleotides) under Arabidopsis thaliana (thale cress). RNAcentral describes it as "snRNA_03809". The record is from RNAcentral. Lineage: Eukaryota; Viridiplantae; Streptophyta; Magnoliopsida; Brassicales; Brassicaceae.
GAGAACAAACUGCGUGAAAGU